UGGGGAAUUUUGACAAUGGGGAAACCCUGAUCCAGCCAUCCCGCGUGUGCGAUGAAGGCCUUCGGGUUGUAAAGCACUUUUGGCAGGAAAGAAACGUCGCGGGUUAAUACCCCGCGAAACUGACGGUACCUGCAGAAUAAGCACCGGCUAACUACGUGCCAGCAGCCGCGGUAAUACGUAGGGUGCAAGCGUUAAUCGGAAUUACUGGGGCGUAAAGCGUGCGCAGGCGGUUCGGAAAGAAAGAUGUGAAAUCCCCAGAGCUUAACUUUGGAACUGCAUUUUUAAACUACCGGGCUAGAGUGUGUCAGAGGGAGGUGGAAUUCCGCGUGUAGCAGUGAAAUGCGUAGAUAUGCGGAGGAACACCGAUGGCGAAGGCAGCCUCCUGGGAUAACACUGACGCUCAUGCACGAAAGCGU
This 416-nucleotide ribosomal RNA is filed under the name uncultured bacterium. Its description in RNAcentral is "partial 16S ribosomal RNA". It matches the Rfam family "Bacterial small subunit ribosomal RNA", at positions 355 to 762 of the family's 1533-position model. The record is from RNAcentral.